Molecule: ribosomal RNA, 749 nt
Filed under: Microbacterium sp.
Lineage: Bacteria; Bacillati; Actinomycetota; Actinomycetes; Micrococcales; Microbacteriaceae
Description: bacterial SSU rRNA
Rfam family: Bacterial small subunit ribosomal RNA
Source: RNAcentral
AACGGUGAAGCAGGAGCUUGCUCUUGUGGAUCAGUGGCGAACGGGUGAGUAACACGUGAGCAACCUGCCCCUGACUCUGGGAUAAGCGCUGGAAACGGCGUCUAAUACUGGAUAUGUGAUGUGACCGCAUGGUCUGCAUCUGGAAAGAAUUUCGGUUGGGGAUGGGCUCGCGGCCUAUCAGCUUGUUGGUGAGGUAAUGGCUCACCAAGGCGUCGACGGGUAGCCGGCCUGAGAGGGUGACCGGCCACACUGGGACUGAGACACGGCCCAGACUCCUACGGGAGGCAGCAGUGGGGAAUAUUGCACAAUGGGCGAAAGCCUGAUGCAGCAACGCCGCGUGAGGGAUGACGGCCUUCGGGUUGUAAACCUCUUUUAGCAGGGAAGAAGCGAAAGUGACGGUACCUGCAGAAAAAGCACCGGCUAACUACGUGCCAGCAGCCGCGGUAAUACGUAGGGUGCAAGCGUUAUCCGGAAUUAUUGGGCGUAAAGAGCUCGUAGGCGGUUUGUCGCGUCUGCUGUGAAAUCCCGAGGCUCAACCUCGGGCCUGCAGUGGGUACGGGCAGACUAGAGUGCGGUAGGGGAGAUUGGAAUUCCUGGUGUAGCGGUGGAAUGCGCAGAUAUCAGGAGGAACACCGAUGGCGAAGGCAGAUCUCUGGGCCGUUACUGACGCUGAGGAGCGAAAGGGUGGGGAGCAAACAGGCUUAGAUACCCUGGUAGUCCACCCCGUAAACGUUGGGAACUAGUUGUGG